This 419-nucleotide ribosomal RNA is filed under the name bacterium. RNAcentral describes it as "partial 16S ribosomal RNA". It matches the Rfam family "Bacterial small subunit ribosomal RNA", at positions 355 to 776 of the family's 1533-position model. The record is from RNAcentral.
UGGGGGAUAUUGCACAAUGGGCGAAAGCCUGAUGCAGCGACGCCACGUGGGGGAUGAAGGCCUUCGGGUUGUAAACUUCUUUUGCUCUGAACAAGGCGCACCAUGGGGUGUGUUGAGUGUAGGGGUUGAUUAGCGCCGUCUAACUACGUGCCAGCAGCCGCGGUACUACGUAGGGCGCGAGCGUUGUCCGGAAUUAUUGGGCGUAAAGGGCUUGUAGGUGGCUGGUUGCGUCUGUCGUGAAGGCUCAUGGCUUAACUGUGGGUUAGCGGUGGGUACGGGCAGGCUGGAGUGCAGUAGGGGAGGCUGGAAUUCCUGGGGUAGCGGUGGAAUGCGCAGAUAUAAGGAGAAAUACCGGGGGAGAAGGAGGGUCUCUGGGAUGUUACUGACACUGAGGAGCGAAAGCAUGGGGAGCGAACAGG